CAGAGUGUUUGAUCGAAAGAUCUACCUCCCACCCUUUUGAUUAUGAGACUUUGUUGCUUCGGCAAGACGUUUGUUUUGGGAACAGAAUGACCGUUGACCAUAUUUUGGGUGAGCGUGUUCUUGCCGAAGAACUUUUCAACUCUUUUUUAUUUACAAGUUGUCUGAGUAUAUCAAACAAAAAAAAGCAA
RNAcentral lists this unclassified non-coding RNA (188 nucleotides) under soil metagenome. RNAcentral's name for it is "partial internal transcribed spacer 1". The record is from RNAcentral.